Molecule: transfer RNA, 82 nt
Filed under: Ustilaginoidea virens
Lineage: Eukaryota; Fungi; Ascomycota; Sordariomycetes; Hypocreales; Clavicipitaceae
Rfam family: tRNA
About the family: Transfer RNA (tRNA) molecules are approximately 80 nucleotides in length. Their secondary structure includes four short double-helical elements and three loops (D, anti-codon, and T loops).
Source: Rfam by way of RNAcentral
GCCGGUGUAGCUUAGAGGUAGAGCGUUGCACUUGUAUCUCCGCGAAAUGCAAAGGUCGCCAGUUCGAGUCUGGUUAUCGGCA